Molecule: unclassified non-coding RNA, 382 nt
Filed under: Hevea brasiliensis (rubber tree)
Lineage: Eukaryota; Viridiplantae; Streptophyta; Magnoliopsida; Malpighiales; Euphorbiaceae
Source: RNAcentral
CGUAUUGGGAUUCGCAAACGAGGUAACUCUUCGCCCUCUGCUAGUUAGUGUCCGUUUUAUUUGCUCUUCUCACAGUUCUAUCACUCACUUUAGGGGACACUUAUUGCUCGUCUGGCAUUAUCAGUUGAUUGUUUUGGUGGUAUAUUGUAUACAAUGAUGGGAAUGUUUUUCAAUCACAAGGUCUUCAUUUGAAUUGCUCAAGUUUAAAAUUUUGUUGAGCCAUUUAUUUUUUUCUCUCUUCUGAAUUCAAAUUUCAUAUUUUCCCCCUUUUGGGGCAGGGGGAGGGAUUAGUUCAUAUUACGGUGGUUCUUGGGAGCUGAUGAGACGCUGGGUCCCGGUGUAGUUAAAGAAGUUGUCGGUGAAAGUUGCAGUGCCUUUGUCC